UACGUAGGCAGCGAGCGUUGUUCGGAGUUACUGGGCGUAAAGCGUGCGUAGGCGGUGCCAUAAGUCUGUUGUGAAAUCUCCCGGCUCAACUGGGAGGGUGCGGUGGAAACUGUGGUGCUGGAGUGUGGGAGAGGUAGGCGGAAUUCCUGGUGUAGCGGUGAAAUGCGUAGAUAUCAGGAGGAACACCUGCGGUGUAGACGGCUUACUGGACCGCGACUGACGCUGAGGCACGAAAGCGUGGGGAGCAAACAGG
Molecule: ribosomal RNA, 253 nt
Filed under: uncultured bacterium
Lineage: Bacteria
Description: partial 16S ribosomal RNA
Rfam family: Bacterial small subunit ribosomal RNA
Source: RNAcentral